Molecule: ribosomal RNA, 465 nt
Filed under: Vreelandella stevensii
Lineage: Bacteria; Pseudomonadati; Pseudomonadota; Gammaproteobacteria; Oceanospirillales; Halomonadaceae
Description: partial 16S ribosomal RNA
Rfam family: Bacterial small subunit ribosomal RNA
Source: RNAcentral
CCUACGGGGGGCUGCAGUGGGGAAUAUUGGACAAUGGGGGCAACCCUGAUCCAGCCAUGCCGCGUGUGUGAAGAAGGCCCUCGGGUUGUAAAGCACUUUCAGUGAGGAAGAACGCCUGGUGGUUAAUACCCAUCAGGAAAGACAUCACUCACAGAAGAAGCACCGGCUAACUCCGUGCCAGCAGCCGCGGUAAUACGGAGGGUGCGAGCGUUAAUCGGAAUUACUGGGCGUAAAGCGCGCGUAGGUGGCUUGAUAAGCUGGUUGUGAAAGCCCCGGGCUCAACCUGGGAACGGCAUCCGGAACUGUCAAGCUAGAGUGCAGGAGAGGAAGGUAGAAUUCCCGGUGUAGCGGUGAAAUGCGUAGAGAUCGGGAGGAAUACCAGUGGCGAAGGCGGCCUUCUGGACUGACACUGACACUGAGGUGCGAAAGCGUGGGUAGCAAACAGGAUUAGAUACCCUGGUAGUC